GAGGGAGGGCGUGCGAGGCCCCGCGGGCUGCCCAGCCCCAGCGCUGGCCUGCAGCUGGACCCGCGAGCCUGCAGGAGCACGUGGGAGAGCACGUGAGCGACCAUCGAUGGGCGAGUCCGGCGCGUGCCGGGCCGCUUUGGACCGAGCGGGGGCUCAGAACAGGGCAGGGCAGAGAGCGAAGGUGGCCGUGGGACCUCCGUGUCCCGCAGUUGGGGCUGCCCAGGAUGCGGCCCCCGAGCAGGGCCGACGGGGAUCGGGCACCACCCGGCUGGUGCUGGGUCAUGGGUUUGCCGAGGCUGCAGAAGCUGGCGAGAGCACUUAGAAUUUGCAUUGUGCGAUAGCCGGGAGCUAAGGGCAGGAGGGGCAAGGAGACAAGUCGAGUGACCCCUGCCCGGGCAGUGCAGAGGAGCAGGCCGAGCUAGAGGCUCAGUGGCGUGUCCAGAGAUCAUGGGAAGCACCAGCCCAGGCCCUGGUCCCACCAGUUCUGUACCCCAUUUCCCACUGGUGGGGAGUGGCAGGGGUCAGCACGUUUGGGGGACAGUGGACAAGCCAAGAAGAUCACCAGUAACCAGAGUGGCCUUGUCAAGGAGCCUGUUGCCUGGCUGAGAAGAGAGUGACCCUUCUUCCCUGUAGACACGCCCUGCAUUGCCCCCAGGAGGAUGCGGCAGCUCAAGGGGAAGCCCAGGAAAGAGACGUCAAGGGACAAGAAGGAGCGGAAACAGGCCAUGCAGGAGGCACGACGGCAGAUCGGCACAGUGGUGUUGCCCACACUGGCCGUGCUGGUACUUCUGCUCGUGCUCUUCGUCUACAUGGCCACACGCCCUGCCAGCAGCGAGUGAAGAGCAGCGUGUUCCCCGCAGCCUCACUGAGCCCGACUUUAUUGCUGGCCGGGGAGGGAAUGGGGGGCAUGGGUCAGUGAGUGACCCCGUGCCCAUGGCCGCUUCAUGUGCCUUGAGACUUGGACCCCCCACUUCCACAGAACUGUGCUGCUCUCACCCAGAGCAGUGCAGGGCUCGAUGCAGAGGUGAAAUAUUUAUUUUUUGAAUAAAGGAGCUAUUGCUUGAA
This is a long non-coding RNA of Sorex fumeus (smoky shrew), 1065 nucleotides long. RefSeq lists it as uncharacterized. NCBI's taxonomy places the organism in Eukaryota, Metazoa, Chordata, Mammalia, Eulipotyphla, Soricidae. The transcript has 3 exons. The record is from RefSeq and is a predicted model, not a curated record.